AAAUAAAGAGCCUGGAACUGGCAUAUGACACUUCACUAGACCUUACUGGUCAAAACAGUCACAAGCCAGCUCAGAUUUAAGAAGAGGAGAAAUAGGUGGCAGCUCUUGAGUAGAAAAGUAUCAAAGACUUUGCAGCCAUUGCCAGUGCACCAUAGAGACUAUGAUUAUUUCCAAAUACAAAUGAGGAAACCAAGACCUAGGGAGGAGAGACUGGCUGACUCUUCUGUGUCACAUAGCCAAUGUUUUAGCCCCAGAAAGUGGACUCCUCAACUUCUCUCAGGCUUUGAUUUAUAACCUUGAAACCAUUCCCAAGUUGUGACUAGACCCAUGGAUUUUUCUAGUCUUCUUAAGAGAAGGAAGCAGACUAAAGAGACUAAACUCCUUUUUGUGAAGAAGAGAAACUGUCCUGACAGCUUUAGGCUGCUAAACAUCCCAAGGUGCUUGACAACAGUGGGCAUGGAGAGGUUAGAACUCUUAACCUCACCCAACAUUGGAAGACAGAGAAUGGAGAAAAACAUGGAUAAAUCAACAUAGAAAAAGCCUCAGCUUCAUCCUCUACUCCUUGCCAAAACUGCCCCUGUGUGUAAGUUCCGUGAAUGUAAAUGCAAGGUAUGCUGACUCUGAAUUUUGGAAUGUUGGGUA
Non-coding RNA from Odocoileus virginianus texanus, 642 nucleotides. The record is from RefSeq and is a predicted model, not a curated record. NCBI's taxonomy places the organism in Eukaryota, Metazoa, Chordata, Mammalia, Artiodactyla, Cervidae.